GAUUGAACGCUGGCGGCAGGCCUAACACAUGCAAGUCGAGCGGAUGAAGGGAGCUUGCUCCUGGAUUCAGCGGCGGACGGGUGAGUAAUGCCUAGGAAUCUGCCUGGUAGUGGGGGAUAACGUCCGGAAACGGGCGCUAAUACCGCAUACGUCCUGAGGGAGAAAGUGGGGGAUCUUCGGACCUCACGCUACCAGAUGAGCCUAGGUCGGAUUAGCUAGUUGGUGGGGUAAAGGCCUACCAAGGCGACGAUCCGUAACUGGUCUGAGAGGAUGAUCAGUCACACUGGAACUGAGACACGGUCCAGACUCCUACGGGAGGCAGCAGUGGGGAAUAUUGGACAAUGGGCGAAAGCCUGAUCCAGCCAUGCCGCGUGUGUGAAGAAGGUCUUCGGAUUGUAAAGCACUUUAAGUUGGGAGGAAGGGCAGUAAGUUAAUACCUUGCUGUUUUGACGUUACCAACAGAAUAAGCACCGGCUAACUUCGUG
This 485-nucleotide ribosomal RNA is filed under the name uncultured bacterium. Its description in RNAcentral is "partial 16S ribosomal RNA". It matches the Rfam family "Bacterial small subunit ribosomal RNA", at positions 27 to 507 of the family's 1533-position model. The record is from RNAcentral.